This 200-nucleotide ribosomal RNA is filed under the name uncultured Rhizophagus. Its description in RNAcentral is "partial 18S ribosomal RNA". It matches the Rfam family "Eukaryotic small subunit ribosomal RNA", at positions 569 to 766 of the family's 1831-position model. Lineage: Eukaryota; Fungi; Glomeromycota; Glomeromycetes; Glomerales; Glomeraceae. The record is from RNAcentral.
AGCAGCCGCGGUAAUUCCAGCUCCAAUAGCGUAUAUUAAAGUUGUUGCAGUUAAAAAGCUCGUAGUUGGAUUUCUGGUAUUGCGCGCUCGGGCGACGGGAGUAAUCUCGCCUGUCCCGUUGCCGUGCAUGCCAUCCUGCCAGUAAACUCGACGCACUUAACUGGGCGGCGAGCGUUCUGGCUCAUUUACUUUGAAAAAAU